CGCAAGCAAGAACCAAUCAGCUCUAUGCAGCUGUGUCACGUGUUAAUUUCUUUGAAAAACAUGGCGGCUGUUUGGUGUACCGAGUCGACGACUAUACUCCACGUUAUCGUCGAGAAGAGUAUUGUAGUGACGCGCUCUUUCAUUGCGCAUGAUCACCAGCGUUCAAGCCGCUUCCCACAGCAGUUGCGGCAAGCGACGAAUACGCUUGGUGUAAAUAUCUCAACAGCCGACAUCAGCACUCUACGCGCGACAAACUGUCACUUGUAGACGCGUUGUCUAAAUCGGGCUUAAGAUUUAGUGCUGCAAGGUCC
This 311-nucleotide long non-coding RNA is filed under the name Androctonus crassicauda. The record is from RNAcentral. Lineage: Eukaryota; Metazoa; Arthropoda; Arachnida; Scorpiones; Buthidae.